RNAcentral lists this ribosomal RNA (375 nucleotides) under uncultured bacterium. Its description in RNAcentral is "bacterial SSU rRNA". It matches the Rfam family "Bacterial small subunit ribosomal RNA", at positions 523 to 898 of the family's 1533-position model. The record is from RNAcentral.
AUACGGGGGGUGCAAGCGUUAAUCGGAAUUACUGGGCGUAAAGCGUGCGUAGGCGGUUUGGUCAGUCAGCCGUGAAAGCCCUGGGCUUAACCUGGGAACGGCGGUUGAGACGGCCAGACUCGAGUGGGCUAGAGGAUCGUGGAAUUCCCGGUGUAGCGGUGAAAUGCGUAGAGAUCGGGAGGAACACCGAUGGCGAAGGCAGCGGUCUGGGGCCACACUGACGCUGAGGCACGAAAGCGUGGGGAGCAAACAGGAUUAGAUACCCUGGUAGUCCACGCGGUAAACGAUGAACACUAGACGUUGGGCGGGUGACCGUCCGGUGUCGAAGCUAACGCGAUAAGUGUUCCGCCUGGGGAGUACGGCCGCAAGGUUGAA